RNA transcript from Sus scrofa (pig), 1690 nucleotides. It is a transcript of the gene named Fc gamma receptor IIb, with no coding region annotated. NCBI's taxonomy places the organism in Eukaryota, Metazoa, Chordata, Mammalia, Artiodactyla, Suidae. The record is from RefSeq and is marked provisional.
UCUUUUGCUCUCCAGAAUUUGUCUGUCCUCUGGGGUGGAAUCUGUCGAGCCUUGAGAGAAGCCUGUCUUGCGCUGGCGCUGCCAGAGGCAACCUGCGUACUCCAGGAGGUGAUGGGGAUCCCCUCGUUCCUAGCCCUCCCCGCUGCCAGGAGUGACUGGGCUGAUUGCAUGCCCUGCCAUCCUUUGGGCCACAUGCUCCUGUGGACAGCUCUGCUAUUCCUGGCUCCUGUUCCUGGGACACGUGCAGUUCUCCCAAAGGCUGAGGUGAAGCUUCAGCCUGCAUGGAUCAAUGUGCUCCAGGAGGAUUCUGUGACACUGACGUGCCAGGGCGACCAUGACCCUGGGAACACCACCACCCAGUGGUUCCAUAAUGGGAACUUCACCUGGACCGAGAACCAGCCCAGCUUCAGCUUUAAGGCCAGGAGAGCUAGCAGCGGAUACUACAGGUGCCAGACUGCCUACUCCAGUCUCAGCGACCCUGUGCAUCUGGAUGUGAUUUCUGACUGGCUGCUGCUCCAAACCUCUAGUCUGGUUUUCCAGGAAGGGGAGCCCAUCUUGCUGAGGUGCCAUAGCUGGAGAAACAAGCCUCUGCAUAAGGUUGCAUUUUUCCAGAAUGGAAAAUCUAAGAAGUUUUCCUAUGUGGAUUCCAACUUCUCCAUCCCACAAGCAAACCAGAGUCAUAGUGGCGAGUACCACUGCACAGGAUUUAUCGGGAAGAUGUCGUACUCAUCACAGUCUGUGAACAUCACUGUCCAAGCAGAGAAAGCUGAGGAUGGGGAGGAAGAAGGCCAGUCACAGAAAUCCGGUGCAGGGUCCAGCUUGAACAACUUGCUGGUGACGAUAGUUGUGGCUGUGGUUGCUUGGAUUGUUGCAAUGGCUAUUGCUGCUGCCAUAGCAGCCUGGUUCCGCCUCAGGCGAAAGCGGAUUUCAGAAUGUGGAGCGUGGGACACAGAAACUCCUUAUGUCCUGGAGAUGAAUGAAGACACUAGAUGCAUUGUCUCAGACUCCUUCCCCACUUCUUAAGGAAUGCUGCUUUGCAGAUACUGAGGCUGCUUUUUGCACUGGCAAACCAAUCACACUGAUGCUGAAGAGGCUGCCAAAAUUGAGGCUGAGGAUACAAUCACCUAUUCACUUCUCUUGCAUCCGGAAGCUGCAGAAGGAGAAGCAGAGGCUUCAGAUUACCAGAACCACAUUUAAAUUUCAUUAUCUUGCCUGGGACUUGGGGAAGAGAAUAAGGAUUUGGUGUUUUCUGCCCUGAAUUCCUCUUAGGGAGGAGAAGAGAAUUUCGCAGUUGCAAAGGAAAACGACCCCUCCAGAGUUAUCUACAUGAAUCCUGAAGCUCCCUUUUCUGAAAGCCACAGACAAUACCGUCUCAGAUAACUGACCUGCUGAUUUCUUCUGUGCCUCAGCACUUCUCACCAUUAGGACUCUUCUGUUAGACUUCCACACAGCCAGUGAAAAUUACUUUUAAUAAGAGAUUGUAGCAACACGGGAAAUACUUAUGUUACAGAUGACAUGAGAAAAAUUAUAUAAAUAUACAUGAUUUCAGAAAUGUUGAAACAGACUAACAUAUGCCAAUAUAUUAAAAGCAAUUGUUUCAGGGUGAUGGAAUUAUUGGCGCUUUUCAUUUCCUUUAUUUUUCUGUGUAGAUCAUAUAUUACUUUCAUAAUAAAAUACUACACAAACAACA